This 75-nucleotide transfer RNA is filed under the name Dehalococcoidia bacterium. RNAcentral describes it as "tRNA-Ile". It matches the Rfam family "tRNA". From Rfam's summary of the family: Transfer RNA (tRNA) molecules are approximately 80 nucleotides in length. Their secondary structure includes four short double-helical elements and three loops (D, anti-codon, and T loops). Lineage: Bacteria; Bacillati; Chloroflexota; Dehalococcoidia. The record is from RNAcentral.
GGGCCCGUAGCUCAAGGGCAGAGCAACCGGCUCAUAACCGGUGGGUUGCAGGUUCGACUCCUGCCGGGCCCACCA